GAUGAAGAACGUAGCGAAAUGCGAUACGUAAUGUGAAUUGCAGAAUUCAGUGAAUCAUCGAGUCUUUGAACGCACAUUGCGCCCUCUGGUAUUCCGGAGGGCAUGCCUGUCCGAGCGUCAUUGCUGCCCUCAAGCACGGCUUGUGUGUUGGGCUCCGUCCCCCGAUCCCGGGGGACGGGCCCGAAAGGCAGCGGCGGCACCGCGUCCGGUCCUCGAGCGUAUGGGGCUUCGUCACCCGCUCUGUAGGCCCGGCCGGCGCCCGCCGGCGACCCCAAUCAAUCUUUCCAGGUUGACCUCGGAUCAGGUAGGGAUACCCGCUGAACUUAAGCAUAUCAAUAAGCGGAGGA
This 347-nucleotide unclassified non-coding RNA is filed under the name soil metagenome. Its description in RNAcentral is "partial contains 5.8S ribosomal RNA, internal transcribed spacer 2, and large subunit ribosomal RNA". The stretch from base 1 to 120 matches the Rfam family "5.8S ribosomal RNA", at positions 35 to 154 of the family's 154-position model. The record is from RNAcentral.